GUGCACUGUUCGUAACCUGUGAUCAGUUUGCAGUCUGACAUCGGGUUCCAUUCCAGUGCUACAGCGACCCUGGCAAUGCAGUGGGCUGCGUUGUGUGAGCAGCCCCUCUGUUCUUUUGCCAGGAACAAGC
RNAcentral lists this small nucleolar RNA (130 nucleotides) under Lepisosteus oculatus (spotted gar). Lineage: Eukaryota; Metazoa; Chordata; Actinopteri; Semionotiformes; Lepisosteidae. The record is from RNAcentral.